UUUUGACCAACUGCAUCAUUGUCGAAGUUCUGCCGCUUUUCAUGUGCUUUAAAGGCGACUCCAAUCUAUGUCUUGAAAUGUUUCCUGCAAUUCUGCCUUGGUUUCAAAUCCUCUUCGUUGCCUUACCUCAAUAUAUUUUUGGAUGAUAGUUGUCCUUUAGAACUCCGCAGGUUUGUGAAUUGCAGUGCCCAUGAACUCCAUUUUUCAACUCGCUUUUUUGUGAGCUGGCUGCAAAACCUCAGGAUUGCUUCAGGCCCUAUUGUGGUUCCCGGGCUGCAGGCUGAGCGUUUGGUUACUUCUUCUUCCUGAUUGGAAAUUAGAGUGAUAUGUGCCUAUCUAAACACGUACAACUAGUCUCUCAUUGGUUCCCCCGCAUCCCGUUCAUCCUCCGGACAAAUUGCAAACUGUGCGAAACAGGAGGUUAAAUGUGCUGAUUCUCCAAGGGAGGAGAUUGUGAGUUAAGCGGCUGGAAUGGCGAACCCAAGCACCAGGAGAGGAUAAAUGAGCUACGUAACUCUUCCGGAGUUGUUGCAACUGGCCUUAUUUCAUUGAUUUCCGGGCUGAGUAAUAUUCCACUCCACGAAAUCGGGUCUGAAGUGCCGGGUGUGGGACCUCUGCAUGCGGAACCCUAGGAGCACGUGAGAUUAGACAAAGCACAAAGGAAAAAAAGGAGUUGCCAGGCUGCCACCUCCUAAAGAAGAGGAUGUGUCACCCAUACCUGCCGCUGGAAUUUCUCCCCGGGCAGAGGUGAGGAAGGAAAAAAGCAGUGGGGGCCGGGACGGGAGGGUUACCUCAGGGAAAUGGAAAGCUUCCAGAAGAGCGCCCGGGGCCAGGACCAUCCUGGCUGGCCUGCAGGCACCAAGUUGGCCGGCGUGCUGUCGCUGGUGUGGCUCCACGGCCCUUCCUCUAGGCUUUCAAGUCCUUGUACACAUUCAGGUGUUUUACCUGGGAAGGGUGGGAACAGUUCAGCAGCAUCUACUUGGG
Molecule: long non-coding RNA, 984 nt
Organism: Orcinus orca (killer whale)
Lineage: Eukaryota; Metazoa; Chordata; Mammalia; Artiodactyla; Delphinidae
Exons: 4
Source: RefSeq, a predicted model, not a curated record